CUGGCGGCGUGCUUAACACAUGCAAGUCGAACGGGGUCAAAGUGAUAGCUUGCUAUUAUGGAGCCUAGUGGCAAACGGGGUGAGUAACGCCGUAGGCAACCUGCCCUUCAGAUGGGGACAACACCUCGAAAGGGGUGCUAAUACCGAAUGACGUUGCGCUGUCGCAUGACGGUGCAACCAAAGGCCGGGCAACCGGUCACUGAAGGAUGGGCCUGCGUCUGAUUAGCUAGUUGGUGGGUAACGGCCCACCAAGGCGACGAUCAGUAGCCGGUCUGAGAGGAUGAACGGCCACAUUGGGACUGAGACACGGCCCAGACUCCUACGGGAGGCAGCAGUGGGGAAUCUUCCGCAAUGGACGAAAGUCUGACGGAGCAACGCCGCGUGAACGAUGACGGCCUUCGGGUUGUAAAGUUCUGUUAUACGGGACGAAUGGCGUAGCGGUCAAUACCCGUUACGAGUGACGGUACCGUAAGAGAAAGCCACGGCUAACUACGUG
Molecule: ribosomal RNA, 496 nt
Filed under: uncultured bacterium
Lineage: Bacteria
Description: bacterial SSU rRNA
Rfam family: Bacterial small subunit ribosomal RNA
Source: RNAcentral